This 497-nucleotide ribosomal RNA is filed under the name uncultured bacterium. RNAcentral describes it as "partial 16S ribosomal RNA". It matches the Rfam family "Bacterial small subunit ribosomal RNA", at positions 28 to 507 of the family's 1533-position model. The record is from RNAcentral.
GACGAACGCUGGCGGCGUGCCUAAUACAUGCAAGUUAAGCGCUGAAGGUUGGUACUUGUACCAACUGGAUGAGCAGCGAACGGGUGAGUAACGCGUGGGGAAUCUGCCUUUGAGCGGGGGACAACAUUUGGAAACGAAUGCUAAUACCGCAUAAAAACUUUAAACACAAGUUUUAAGUUUGAAAGAUGCAAUUGCAUCACUCAAAGAUGAUCCCGCGUUGUAUUAGCUAGUUGGUGAGGUAAAGGCUCACCAAGGCGAUGAUACAUAGCCGACCUGAGAGGGUGAUCGGCCACAUUGGGACUGAGACACGGCCCAAACUCCUACGGGAGGCAGCAGUAGGGAAUCUUCGGCAAUGGACGAAAGUCUGACCGAGCAACGCCGCGGGAGUGAAGAAGGUUGUCGGAUCGUAAAACUCUGUUGGUAGAGAAGAACGUUGGUGAGAGUGGAAAGCUCAUCAAGUGACGGUAACUACCCAGAAAGGGACGGCUAACUACGUG